CUUCCAGAAGCCAACUAAGAGACUUGCUCUUGGUCACAAACGAGGAAACAGAAAGUCAGAAAUGCCAAAUAAUUCUUUAAGGGACCUUUUUCAGAAAGUUCCUCACUUAAUGAGGAACUGUGAAAAAGAAAACAGUAGUCAAGGUGCCAGCUGGCAGUGCAUCCUGGACAAGUAAUGAAAAGAAUCGAGAGUAUUUACAGGUCAGUUACAACUAAGCAUGUUUAAGUUGUAACUGGGGAAAUGGCUCAACAGUUAAGAGCACACACUGCCUUCCCAGGCACUCAAGGUCGUUCCCGGCACCUGUAUUGGACAGCUCACAUUACCUGUAACUUCUACUGCAUGGAACUACGUAGCACGAAUAAUAAAAACCCAGAGACAGAUAUUGGGGUUCAAGCUGAAGAUCAGAAACGCAGAGCAGCCAGCCGCUAGAGAGUUCUUACCUCUACCAAGGCUAAGACCAAAGAGGAACAGACUGCAGUGCUCUCCACCAAGACUGCACUGAGCUCCGGCCUUAUAUUCCUCUGUAGUGCUGGAAUUAAAGGUGUGUCAUCCCAAGUGCUGGGAUCAAAGAAAAGCUGAAGUACAGAGAGGCAAAGUUACGAGACCAAAGGUGUUCAGCAAACCACUGGAAGAACGAAGAACCCAGACGUUCUCUCCUGCUUCUUCCCAGAGCAGCACAGAAACUAGACCAUCCCUGUCUGUAGCAGACAGGCCCUUGCUAUAAAAGUGAGCAAACCCUCUAGCCGCCAGCAACUCUAAGACUCGAGUCUUCAGGACCCCUGCCCAGGCGGUACAGGGCAUCCAUCUCUCCUGCAGAGCUCCGCUCCAGAUUCCUGAGGGGAAGACUCUCUCUCCCUGUAAGUCUCCAUCAUGCCUCCUCCUCCGAUGUGAUGUGCUGUCCCUCCUGAUGUCCUCCCUCCCCACCCCACCCCCAAACAUGCAGCGCACACACACCACGGUCUGGAAGAUGCGUCUGACAGCAAAGCUCCCCUCUGAGGGUAGCUGGCCUCAGCCUCCUCUCCAGGAACCCGCCAGCUGUUUGUUUUAGCAGCAAGGCACCCGCAUUCUGUUCCACCAGCCUCUGCCCCUCCCCGCACGGGCCGAGCAGCAGUGUGUUCUGGAGGUUCAAACCAACGUUGCUGUGUAUCUGGAAGCUUCAGAAGCAGCGAACAGCUCACACCAGCACGGCCACCGCGCACGAACCUCAAGCUGCGGCAACCGCCCAGGUCCUGAAUAACUCCAGCCGCCCAGAAGCCAGUCUGGAGGCCCAGAAGCCGAGAAAUCCGCAAGACCGGGAGUCUAGAGGCCCGGAAAACUAAGUCCACACUCAGCCAGUGGCCCCGAUCCUGGCUCAGCAAGUCCACUAAGCACUGUGGGAGCAUUCAGGACACUUAAGCUCACGCAACCUUUCUUCCUUUUUUCUCGUUUGUGCCAGAGGCAUGAUUUUUGUCACCACAAACUAGCAAACAAAAUGUUAAAAUAGUAAUAAAAUAAAAAGGCUGCCACAGCGCCGACUGUCUGAAAGGCUGCCUGGGCCUAAUUGUGGCUAAAUUUUAAAUGUCAUUUUUUGGCAGGAAGUUUCCAAAAUUUAAGUGGAAAAUGUUGUGGCCACUGGCCAAGUAGUCCAAUUACUCAGUACAUUUGGGAGUGAAUUUUUUUUUUAGAAAAAAAGGUAUAAAAUGGAUCUUUCUGCUGCCGAGUAGAGCAUGACUAUAAUUCCAGCAUUGUGAAAUGGAGGUAGAUCGUCUACAACUGCCUAGCAAAUCUGAGAUCAGCCUGGGUUACAGUAAAAAAGAAAAGGUUUGUAAUGUGUUCAAUUUUGACAUUCUCUUCUAUGCUUUAUAAGUAGAAUGGCAUUAUUUCAUUUCAUUCAUGUAAAAACAUUGUGAAAUUCUCAUGGGGUAAUGUAUAUCAAACAUUUGAAAGAGUACCAUUGUUUAGAAAGCUUUCAACACACCGUGCUUUAUUUGUUAUCUCUUAAAUUAUCUCUGUAUUUGUUAUCUCUUAAA
Long non-coding RNA from Mesocricetus auratus (golden hamster), 2009 nucleotides. RefSeq lists it as uncharacterized. The transcript has 4 exons. The record is from RefSeq and is a predicted model, not a curated record. NCBI's taxonomy places the organism in Eukaryota, Metazoa, Chordata, Mammalia, Rodentia, Cricetidae.